GAUGAAGAACGUAGCAAAAUGCGAUAAGUAAUGUGAAUUGCAGAAUUCAGUGAAUCAUCGAAUCUUUGAACGCACAUUGCGCCCUGUGGUAUUCCGCAGGGCAUGCCUGUUCGAGCGUCAUUUCAACCCUCAAGCUCUGCUUGGUGUUGGGCCCUGCCCGCUGCGGCCGGCCCUAAAGACAGUGGCGGUGCCGCCUGGCCCUGAGCGUAGUACAUCUCUCGCUCCAGUGCCCGGUGGUAGCCUGCCAGAACCCCAACUCUCGUGGUUGACCUCGGAUCAGGUAGGGAUACCCGCUGAACUUAAGCAUAUCAAUAAGCGGAGGA
This 323-nucleotide unclassified non-coding RNA is filed under the name soil metagenome. RNAcentral's name for it is "partial contains 5.8S ribosomal RNA, internal transcribed spacer 2, and large subunit ribosomal RNA". The stretch from base 1 to 120 matches the Rfam family "5.8S ribosomal RNA", at positions 35 to 154 of the family's 154-position model. The record is from RNAcentral.